Molecule: long non-coding RNA, 1547 nt
Organism: Oreochromis niloticus (Nile tilapia)
Lineage: Eukaryota; Metazoa; Chordata; Actinopteri; Cichliformes; Cichlidae
Exons: 2
Source: RefSeq, a predicted model, not a curated record
CGGAAACUAAACACUGACGCACAGGUGAGCUGCUUCUUGAGAGGAGGCUGGACUCCACCUGAAACAGUUCCUGCGAGAUGAUGGCAUUCAUGCUGUGGACUGGCCCGCCUGUUCCCUGAACCUAAUUGAGCAUAUGUGGGACAUCAUGUCUUGCUCCAUCCACCAACGGCACAUUGCACAACAGACUGUCCAGGAGUUGGUGGAUGCUUUAGUCCAGGUAUGGGAGGAGAUCCCACAGGAGACCAUCUGCCACCUCAUCAGGAGCAUGCCCAGGCAUUGUGGGGAGGUCAUACAGGCAGGUGGAGGCCACACACACUACUGCGCCUCAUUUUGACUUGUUUGAAAGACAUUACAUCAGUUGGAUCCAGACCUCCAUGGGUAGCUACAUUUGAUUUCCAUUGAUAAUUUUUGUGUGAUUUUGUUCAGAGCACAUUUAACUAUAUAAAGAAUAAAGUAUUUAAUAAGAAUAUUUCAUUCAUUCAGAUCUGGGAUGUCUUAUUUUUGUGUUCUUUUUAUUUUUUGAGCAGUGUUUAUAUAUCAGGAAAAAUCAAGCUUCAUUCAAAAAACAAAUGUCACAAAUAUGUCCUGUGAAAUUACGGAGUCAUUGUGAAUAGCCACAUUAACAAUAGGUGAGACUGAAGAAUAUUUUUAAACACAAAAUAUUUACAGAAAUUUUACUUGUCCAAUGUGCAAAGGCAUUAAUACUUAUACUAAGUUCCCUUACUCCUGCCUGUGGCAUAUACUCUACAUACAUGAAUUAUUAAGAAGACUAAAGCAGCAUAUGAAACAUAAUUCACCUAUUAUGUUUCAUCAUAAUACCAUAAUAGAUCAAGCAGUUUGUCCAGAUCAAUUAAAACAAGGACAAACAGUCUGAAAAUCUGUUUUUAUCCUAGAGCUGCACAAUUAAAUGCUGAAAUAUCCUGAAUGAUUGUUAAUGAAUCCAUGCUGUAAUUCUUCUUUGUUCAAAAACAUGCAGGCUGUUGUCAUACUGUCUAUACUGUUGUUUGACUUCUUUGUAAAACCCAAAGACAAACUGAUUGUGUUCACCUCAAUUUAUUUCAGAUUUUCACAACAGUUGACUGAUAAAAUCUUUCGUGGAACAUUUUCUUGACCUUUAAAUGUAUAAUGGAAUAUCCAUGUUUGUUUGCUUUUUAAAUGAUUUGAUACUAUUGUCUAUAACUUCAAGAAAGGUGUUUGUUUUAAAUGUCUUGUCAGCAUUUGUGAGUCCACAUGCAAACAUUUCUUACUGAUCUGAAGAUAAGCUCUACAGUAUGAAGCUCUCUGACUCUGGAACAUCCUUCACACAUUGCCCCCAUUCAUCUGACGCUGUGUAAGCUCCCUUAGCUUUGUGUCAUAAUAAUCUGGUUGUAGCUGAAUCUCAAGAUGAGAUAAGUGAAUUUACCCUAAUUUUAAUAUUUGGGUCAGAAUGAGCUCUCAGAAUCCAGUAAUCCAGUGUUUUUGCAAAAGACUGACAACAAUUUGUCUUGGUUACCCUCUCUGAGUACGUUUAAACACUUUAUGAUUAAACCUUAAGUGCACGUAAUUAG